Molecule: ribosomal RNA, 497 nt
Filed under: uncultured bacterium
Lineage: Bacteria
Description: partial 16S ribosomal RNA
Rfam family: Bacterial small subunit ribosomal RNA
Source: RNAcentral
GACGAACGCUGGCGGCGUGCCUAAUACAUGCAAGUUGAGCGAUGAAGAUUGGUGCUUGCACCAAUUUGAAGAGCAGCGAACGGGUGAGUAACGCGUGGGGAAUCUGCCUUUGAGCGGGGGACAACAUUUGGAAACGAAUGCUAAUACCGCAUAAUAACUUUAAACAUAAGUUUUAAGUUUGAAAGAUGCAAUUGCAUCACUCAAAGAUGAUCCCGCGUUGUAUUAGCUAGUUGGUGAGGUAAAGGCUCACCAAGGCGAUGAUACAUAGCCGACCUGAGAGGGUGAUCGGCCACAUUGGGACUGCGACACGGCCCAAACUCCUACGGGAGGCAGCAGUAGGGAAUCUUCGGCAAUGGACGAAAGUCUGACCGAGCAACGCCGCGUGAGUGAAGAAGGUCUUCGGAUCGUAAAACUCUGUUGGUAGAGAAGAACGUUGGUGAGAGUGGAAAGCUCAUCAAGUGACGGUAACUACCCAGAAAGGGACGGCUAACUACGUG